UACGAAGGGGGCUAGCGUUGUUCGGAGUCACUGGGCGUAAAGGGUGCGUAGGCGGGUCUUUAAGUCAGGGGUGAAAUCCUGGAGCUCAACUCCAGAACUGCCUUUGAUACUGAGGAUCUUGAGUUCGGGAGAGGUGAGUGGAACUGCGAGUGUAGAGGUGAAAUUCGUAGAUAUUCGCAAGAACACCAGUGGCGAAGGCGGCUCACUGGCCCGAUACUGACGCUGAGGCACGAAAGCGUGGGGAGCAAACAGG
Molecule: ribosomal RNA, 253 nt
Filed under: uncultured bacterium
Lineage: Bacteria
Description: partial 16S ribosomal RNA
Rfam family: Bacterial small subunit ribosomal RNA
Source: RNAcentral